CCUACGGGUGGCAGCAGUGGGGAAUAUUGCACAAUGGUGGAAACCCUGAUGCAGCAACGCCGCGUGGGUGAAGAAGUAUUUCGGUAUGUAAAGCUCUAUCAGCAGGGAAGAGAAUGACGUUACCUGAAUUAGAAUCCCCGGCUCACUACGUGCCAGCCGCCUAGGUAAUACGUAGGGGGCAAGCGUUCUCCGGAUUUCCUGGGUGUAAAGGGAGCGUAGACGGUUGUGCAAGUCUGAAGUGAAAGGCCGCGGCUCAACUACGGAACGGCUUUGGAAACUGGGUAACUGGAGUGCUGGGGAGGUAAGCGGAAUUCCUGGUGUAGCGGUGAAAUGCGUAGAGAUCAGGAGGAACACCGACGGCGAAGGCGGCUUACUGGACAGUAACUGACGUUGAGGCUCGAAAGCGUGGGGAGCAAACAGGAUUAGAUACCCUAGUAGUC
This 440-nucleotide ribosomal RNA is filed under the name uncultured bacterium. RNAcentral describes it as "partial 16S ribosomal RNA". It matches the Rfam family "Bacterial small subunit ribosomal RNA", at positions 338 to 795 of the family's 1533-position model. The record is from RNAcentral.